Molecule: ribosomal RNA, 448 nt
Filed under: uncultured Pelagibacterales bacterium
Lineage: Bacteria; Pseudomonadati; Pseudomonadota; Alphaproteobacteria; Candidatus Pelagibacterales
Description: bacterial SSU rRNA
Rfam family: Bacterial small subunit ribosomal RNA
Source: RNAcentral
GAGAUGUGGGUUAGUCCGCACGAGCGCACCUCACUUUUAGUUGCCAUCAUUAAGUUGGGCACUCUGAAAGAACUGCCAGUGAUAAGCUGGAGGAAGGUGGGGAUGACGUCAAGUCCUCAUGGCCCCUACGUGUUGGGCUACACACGUGCUACAAUGGUAUCUACAACAGGAAGCAAGACUGCGAAGUUAAGCAAAUCCCUAAAAGAUACCUCAGUUCGGAUUGCACUCUGCAACUCGAGUGCAUGAAGCUGGAAUUACUAGUAAUCGUGGAUCAGCGUGCCACGGUGAAUGCGUUCCCGGGUCUUGUACACACCGCCCGUCACACCAUGGGAGUUGGUUCUACCUUAAGGCAAGGUUUCAAACCCUUGACCACGGUAUAGUCAGCGACUGGGGUGAAGUCGUAACAAGGUAGCCGUAGGGGAACCUGCGGCUGGAUUACCUCCUUUCU